Molecule: small nuclear RNA, 114 nt
Filed under: Acidomyces richmondensis BFW
Lineage: Eukaryota; Fungi; Ascomycota; Dothideomycetes; Mycosphaerellales; Teratosphaeriaceae
Description: U5 spliceosomal RNA
Rfam family: U5 spliceosomal RNA
About the family: U5 RNA is a component of both types of known spliceosome. The precise function of this molecule is unknown, though it is known that the 5' loop is required for splice site selection and p220 binding, and that both the 3' stem-loop and the Sm site are important for Sm protein binding and cap methylation.
Source: Rfam by way of RNAcentral
GACGGCGCGGUCGUCCUAACUUUGCAUUGGGACUUGCCUUUUACCAGCUCCAACAAUGGGACGCCGCAUUAAGCCGCUUACUCAAUAUUUGGAAACCCCUAUAAUUAUGCGAGC